UGGUAUGCCACAGGUGGCUUUAUGAUGGUGCCACAUGUUAAAGUGUUUUCAUUAACACAGUACACCUGUAAGUCUGUAACUGUAAGUUCUAAGCUUAUAACUAAAGAAUUUAUCUUUGGACGAAUCUGUACUGCAUCUGUGUCCAUAUCUGUGUCUACACGUAUCGACACGGGACUCGGCACAAAAACUGCCGUACCCAUGCAACACAGG
This 210-nucleotide long non-coding RNA is filed under the name Aquilegia coerulea. Its description in RNAcentral is "long non-coding RNA (ACOE_LNC000518)". The record is from RNAcentral. Lineage: Eukaryota; Viridiplantae; Streptophyta; Magnoliopsida; Ranunculales; Ranunculaceae.